This 698-nucleotide ribosomal RNA is filed under the name bacterium IRQ_61. Its description in RNAcentral is "bacterial SSU rRNA". It matches the Rfam family "Bacterial small subunit ribosomal RNA", at positions 764 to 1462 of the family's 1533-position model. The record is from RNAcentral.
GGGAGCAAACAGGAUUAGAUACCCUGGUAGUCCACGCCGUAAACGAUGUCGAUUUGGAGGUUGUGCCCUUGAGGCGUGGCUUCCGGAGCUAACGCGUUAAAUCGACCGCCUGGGGAGUACGGCCGCAAGGUUAAAACUCAAAUGAAUUGACGGGGGCCCGCACAAGCGGUGGAGCAUGUGGUUUAAUUCGAUGCAACGCGAAGAACCUUACCUGGUCUUGACAUCCACAGAACUUUCCAGAGAUGGAUUGGUGCCUUCGGGAACUGUGAGACAGGUGCUGCAUGGCUGUCGUCAGCUCGUGUUGUGAAAUGUUGGGUUAAGUCCCGCAACGAGCGCAACCCUUAUCCUUUGUUGCCAGCGGUUAGGCCGGGAACUCAAAGGAGACUGCCAGUGAUAAACUGGAGGAAGGUGGGGAUGACGUCAAGUCAUCAUGGCCCUUACGACCAGGGCUACACACGUGCUACAAUGGCGCAUACAAAGAGAAGCGACCUCGCGAGAGCAAGCGGACCUCAUAAAGUGCGUCGUAGUCCGGAUUGGAGUCUGCAACUCGACUCCAUGAAGUCGGAAUCGCUAGUAAUCGUAGAUCAGAAUGCUACGGUGAAUACGUUCCCGGGCCUUGUACACACCGCCCGUCACACCAUGGGAGUGGGUUGCAAAAGAAGUAGGUAGCUUAACCUUCGGGAGGGCGCUUACCACCU